RNAcentral lists this long non-coding RNA (306 nucleotides) under Salvia miltiorrhiza (redroot sage). Its description in RNAcentral is "long non-coding RNA (SMIL_LNC013893)". Lineage: Eukaryota; Viridiplantae; Streptophyta; Magnoliopsida; Lamiales; Lamiaceae. The record is from RNAcentral.
AAAUUUGGGAAUCACGAAAAUAGAGCCCUGAAGGCCAACGAGUUUGGACAUUCUGAGAUUAAUUUAUAGCUAAGUUACAGUUUCUCAAAUUCCUUUGAUGCUAUGUUUAACGUUUAAUGUUUGUGGGUCAUUUACAUUGUGGAAGACGGCAUAGAAUGGCAUGUUUCUAUUGAACACUCUUAAUUUGUGGAGCGCUUGCUGUUGGGAGUUAUUUUGAAUUGCUGAAGGUUUCCUAAAUAUAUACUAUGAUCUCAUAACUACUCGGUCAUAUGCCUAUAGAUCUUUUCGAGCUUGGUUAAGAGAAAA